UUUCCGGUUGAUCCUGCCGGACCUGACUGCUAUCGGAUUGAUACUAAGCCAUGUGAGUCUUUGUAGCAAUACAAGGCGUACGGCUCAGUAACACGUAGUCAACCUACCUUAUGGACGGGGAUAACCUCGGGAAACUGAGAAUAAUACCCGAUAGAUCAUUAUGCCUGGAAUGGUUUAUGGUCAAAAUGAAUUUCGCCAUAGGAUGGGACUGCGGUCUAUCAGCUUGUUGGUGAGUUAAUGGCCCACCAAGGCUAUAACAGAUACGGGCUCUGAGAGGAGAAGCCCGGAGAUGGGUACUGAGACACGGACCCAGGUCCUAUGGGGCGCAGCAGGCGAGAAAACUUUGCAAUGUGCGAAAGCACGACAAGGUUAAUCCGAGUGUUUCCUGCUAAAGGAAUCUUUUGUUAGUCGUAAAACCACUAGUGAAUAAGGGGUGGGCAAGUUCUGGUGUCAGCCGCCGCGGUAAAACCAGCACCUCAAGUGGUCAGGAGGAUUAUUGGGCCUAAAGCAUCCGUAGCCUGCUUUGUAAGUUUUCGAUUAAAUCUAUAUGCUCAACAUAUAGGCUGUCGGGAAUACUGCACAGCUAGGGAGUGGGAGAGGUAGACGGUACUCCGUAGGAAGGGGUAAAAUCCUUUGAUCUAUGGAUGACCACCUGUGGCGAAGGCGGUCUACCAGAACACGUCCGACGGUGAGGGAUGAAAGCUGGGGGAGCAAACCGGAUUAGAUACCCGGGUAGUCCCAGCUGUAAACCAUGCAAACUCAGUGAUGCAUUGGCUUGUGGCCAGUGCAGUGCCGCAGGGAAGCCGUUAAGUUUGCCGCCUGGGAAGUACGUACGCAAGUAUGAAACUUAAAGGAAUUGGCGGGGGAGCACCACAAGGGGUGAAGCCUGCGGUUCAAUUGGAUUCAACGCCGGA
RNAcentral lists this ribosomal RNA (914 nucleotides) under uncultured archaeon. Its description in RNAcentral is "bacterial SSU rRNA". It matches the Rfam family "Archaeal small subunit ribosomal RNA", at positions 1 to 922 of the family's 1478-position model. The record is from RNAcentral.